This 264-nucleotide ribosomal RNA is filed under the name uncultured archaeon. Its description in RNAcentral is "partial 16S ribosomal RNA". It matches the Rfam family "Archaeal small subunit ribosomal RNA", at positions 748 to 1008 of the family's 1478-position model. The record is from RNAcentral.
CAGCCGUAAACUAUGCGCGUUAGGUGUAUCGGUGACCACGAGUUACCGAGGUGCCGAAGGGAAACCGUGAAACGCGCCGCCUGGGAAGUACGGUCGCAAGGCUGAAACUUAAAGGGAAUUAGGGCGGGGGAGCACCACAACGGGUGGAGCCUGCGGUUUAAUUGGACUCAACGCCGGAAAUCUCACCGGAUAGGACAGACAUAUGAUAGUCGGGCUGAAGACUCUACUUGAUGAUCUGAGAGGAGGUGCAUGGCGUCAGUGACU